AAUAGAUACCCGGGUAGUCCACGCCGUAAACGAUGAGUGCCAAGUGUUAGGGGGUUUCCGCCCCUUAGUGCUGCAGCUAACGCAUUAAGCACUCCGCCUGGGGAGUACGGUCGCAAGACUGAAACUCAAAGGAAUUGACGGGGGCCCGCACAAGCGGUGGAGCAUGUGGUUUAAUUCGAAGCAACGCGAAGAACCUUACCAGGUCUUGACAUCCCAUUGACCACUAUGGAGACAUAGUUUUCCCUUCGGGGACAACGGUGACAGGUGGUGCAUGGUUGUCGUCAGCUCGUGUCGUGAGAUGUUGGGUUAAGUCCCGCAACGAGCGCAACCCUUGUUCUUAGUUGCCAUCAUUUAGUUGGGCACUCUAAGGAGACUGCCGGUGACAAACCGGAGGAAGGUGGGGAUGACGUCAAAUCAUCAUGCCCCUUAUGACCUGGGCUACACACGUGCUACAAUGGACGGUACAAACGGUUGCCAACCCGCGAGGGGGAGCUAAUCCGAUAAAACCGUUCUCAGUUCGGAUUGUAGGCUGCAACUCGCCUACAUGAAGCC
This 552-nucleotide ribosomal RNA is filed under the name uncultured bacterium. Its description in RNAcentral is "bacterial SSU rRNA". It matches the Rfam family "Bacterial small subunit ribosomal RNA", at positions 777 to 1327 of the family's 1533-position model. The record is from RNAcentral.